AUAGGGGACAGGUGGGCAAAAACAAUUAUUAAAAAUAGGAGGAAUCCAGUGUAGCUGCUACUAUUUUUAAUAAUUGCUUUUGCCCACCUGUCCCCUAUUGCGAUUU
This is a non-coding RNA of Pelobates cultripes (western spadefoot toad), 106 nucleotides long. The record is from the annotation of a GenBank genome assembly. Lineage: Eukaryota; Metazoa; Chordata; Amphibia; Anura; Pelobatidae.